Molecule: non-coding RNA, 1321 nt
Filed under: Pongo abelii (Sumatran orangutan)
Lineage: Eukaryota; Metazoa; Chordata; Mammalia; Primates; Hominidae
Source: RNAcentral
GGCGCCAGGCGCUCGGGCCGCAAGGGAGCAGGGAGCCCUGCCAGCUGGGCCGCCCGAGGGGCGUUGCGGGGCUCCGGGCGGGGCCGACCCGGGGGGCUGCGCCGGGCCCCACCAGCCUUGCGCCUUUUUCGCUCGGUCUCCUUGGCCUCCCGCUCCUGCGACGCCGCUUUCCUUUUCUCUUGCUCCCGAGCUCGGACCUCGGCCAGGGGCCCCGCCCGCCAGUUGGUCGCCUCCUGCAGCACCCUGGAGGCCCAGGGCCGGCGGGGCGGCGGCUGUGGGGAUCCCGGGCGCGGCCCACACCUGGGACAAUGAGCAGGAACCCAGGGAAUGUGACUUCACUGGACGCAGUAUAAAGAUCUUCAGAUGUCCUCCUGCCGGGGACUGCAGGGAUCACAGAAAGACCACCGAGGUCCAGGAGCUACCUGCAAGCGGAGAUCCCUCUGGACGCCCCCUGCCUCACCCAGCAAAGCCGGAUCACAACCCUGCGCUCUCAAACCUCUAAAAGGGCUUGAGGUGCUAAGAGGAAAGGAGGCCCGAGAUUGCCACGGCAUACGUGGGCUCCAAGGAGGGAGCCAGGAGUCACCGCCUGCUUGGGCUAAGGGUACCGCGUACGGAACGGCGGCGGGGGCGCGGCCCAGUUCUAGGAGAUGCGCCCAACGAAGAAGCGGAGGGACAGGGUCACGGGAUAGGGCAGACACCCGGCUGCUUUUUGUUUGCUAGACACCAGCGCCAGCCCCUGCCCGGCCCUCCCGGUCUCCUAAGGGGGGGGGGGUCUUAGGCUCCACAGCGCCCCCGACCGCCCUCCUGCACUCCUCACCGUCUCCAUUGCAAGAGGCGCCAGCUUGGUUUCCUCGCUUUAGGAAACUCUCUUGGGGCAGGCCCCGCCCCACAUCCGGUGCGGCGACGCCACUUCCGCCCACGUCAUGGCAGUCGCCAGACUGGGGCGGAAGGCAAGGAACCCACCCUUCCGGCGGUGGCGGGCCUCGGUAACCGCCCUCCCCCGCGUCCUCACGGGCCGCACGGAUCCGGCUGACGGCGAGGGUCACGGGACGGAGCCGCUUGUAUUUAAAAUGUUCUUUUUUUAUUUGUCGUUUAAAAACAAACUUGGAAGAAGCAAAAUCCAAAACUUGCCCUUUGCCUCUCGCAACAUAAAUUAUGUACAGUUCAGAAUGAUCGCUGAUACAAAACAUGCCAAGGACAGGGGCGCUGAGGGUGGAGGGAGAGAGGGCGCUUUAAAAAAGGGAACCAUUUCAUCCGUUGUUACGAAGGACCAACCUUGCUGUACAGGAUACACACAACACAAAAUAAAGUCUUCACGGGA